RNAcentral lists this small nucleolar RNA (93 nucleotides) under Cephalotus follicularis. RNAcentral describes it as "Small nucleolar RNA snR60/Z15/Z230/Z193/J17". It matches the Rfam family "Small nucleolar RNA snR60/Z15/Z230/Z193/J17". Rfam says of the family: The members of this family belong to the C/D class of snoRNAs which contain the C (UGAUGA) and D (CUGA) box motifs. Lineage: Eukaryota; Viridiplantae; Streptophyta; Magnoliopsida; Oxalidales; Cephalotaceae. The record is from Rfam by way of RNAcentral.
UUGGGUCAUGUGAUGAUUUUAUACGCAUAGUUCAGAUGAUAAUCUGUGAUUAUAACAAACAAUUUAGUCUUUCGCUCCUAUCUGAUGACCCUU